Molecule: long non-coding RNA, 855 nt
Filed under: Brassica napus (rape)
Lineage: Eukaryota; Viridiplantae; Streptophyta; Magnoliopsida; Brassicales; Brassicaceae
Description: long non-coding RNA (BNAP_LNC011963)
Source: RNAcentral
AUGUUUAUAUUUCCAUGUAGGGUUUGUGAUUAGUGGCUAGGGGUUAGUUUAUGAAAGAUUGGAGUUGACAUUGGAUUAGGAUUUAUAUUCCCGCAUAGGGUUUAGUGAAUAGUUGAUAGGGUUUAAUUUAUGUAUGAUUGUGGUUGACAUUUAGUUAGGGUAUAUGGAAGAUUGGGGUUGACAUUCGAUUAGGGUUUAUAUUUCUAUGUAGGGCUUAGAGAUAAGUGGCUACGGUUUAGUUUAUGAAAGAUUAGGGUUGACAAUGAGUUAGGGUAUAUACUUCCAUGUAGGGUUUAGUAAAUUAAGAUUGAGAUGAGAUUAGAGUUAUAUUUCCGUGUAGGGUUUAGUGAAUAGUUGAUAGGGUUUAAUUUAUGUAAGAUUGUGGUUGACAUUUAGUUAGGGUAUACGGAAGAUUGGUUCUAUUAUCAAUUAUUUUGUUCUAUUAUCAAUUGCUCUGAUACCAGUUUUAUUUAUUUUCUUUUUGUUGAUUUGUUUACAAAGUUCUCAAUUUAUUUUGACUUUAUUUAUUUGCUGGAUUAAAAACAAACUUAUGAUGACAAGGUUGUGAUUAAUACUUACUUUUAUUGAUCUUGAUGUUACAAUCUUUGGUUACAAAGUUACUGAUAGAACUUAGAAUUUUACAAAAUUUAUAGAGAGAAGGGAGAGCGAUUUUUAGAGUGAGAAAGAGCUUGGCGAAAAUUGCUCCUCCUUCGUUCUUCCUCAUGGGUUCCUUUUAUAGGCGAAGGUUGUGUAUUGAUUGGUUGCCACAUGUCAUCUUCUGAUUGUGCCGACACUCUGCUUGUUACGUGUCGUCUUUUGAUUGUGCCGACACUUUGUUGCUACGUGUCAAGUCUU